This 72-nucleotide transfer RNA is filed under the name Bos taurus (domestic cattle). It matches the Rfam family "tRNA". From Rfam's summary of the family: Transfer RNA (tRNA) molecules are approximately 80 nucleotides in length. Their secondary structure includes four short double-helical elements and three loops (D, anti-codon, and T loops). Further hydrogen bonds mediate the characteristic L-shaped molecular structure. tRNAs have two regions of fundamental functional importance: the anti-codon, which is responsible for specific mRNA codon recognition, and the 3' end, to which the tRNAs corresponding amino acid is attached (by aminoacyl-tRNA synthetases). tRNAs cope with the degeneracy of the genetic code in two manners: having more than one tRNA (with a specific anti-codon) for a particular amino acid; and 'wobble' base-pairing, i.e. permitting non-standard base-pairing at the 3rd anti-codon position. Lineage: Eukaryota; Metazoa; Chordata; Mammalia; Artiodactyla; Bovidae. RNAcentral also lists the same sequence under 2 other names. The record is from Rfam by way of RNAcentral.
UCCCUAGUGGCUUAGACGGUAAAGAAUCUGCCUGCAAUGCAAGACACCCAGGUUCAAUCCCUGGAUCGGGAG